Molecule: ribosomal RNA, 428 nt
Filed under: uncultured bacterium
Lineage: Bacteria
Description: partial 16S ribosomal RNA
Rfam family: Bacterial small subunit ribosomal RNA
Source: RNAcentral
GUGGGGAAUAUUGGGCAAUGGGCGAAAGCCUGACCCAGCAACGCCGCGUGAGGGAAGAAGGCCUUCGGGUUGUAAACCUCUGUCCUUGGUGACGAAGAAAGUGACGUUAGCCAAGGAGGAAGCCCCGGCUAACUACGUGCCAGCAGCCGCGGUAAUACGUAGGGGGCGAGCGUUGUCCGGAAUUACUGGGCGUAAAGGGUGCGUAGGUGGCCUUUUAAGUUGGAUGUGAAAUACCCGGGCUUAACUUGGGAGGUGCAUCUAAUACUGGGAGGCUAGAGUGCAGGAGAGGGAAGCGGAAUUCCUAGUGUAGCGGUGAAAUGCGUAGAUAUUAGGAGGAACACCAGUGGCGAAGGCGGCUUUCUGGACUGUAACUGACACUGAGGCACGAAAGCGUGGGGAGCAAACAGGAUUAGAUACCCGUGUAGUCC